UGCAAAUGUGGCAGGGGAUCUAGUACCAGUUCUAAAAGCUUCUUCUCUGAUGAAAACUUUGUGCUCCUACUCAUGAGAGAGAACAAGCAGUGAAAUAAUGACAGUGUUGUUGUGCAGAGAGAGAUAAUGUCCACGUGUGUAUGUAGGUAGGAUUAUAAAUGUAGGGAGCUGAGAAGAUCAUCUCUCUUGCGAUGAAAGUCUGGGAGCUGGGCUCGCUUAGCCUGGAGAGGAGGAGGCUCAAGGAUCAUUUUGUCAAUGUAUGUAAGGGGAGGAUGUAAAGAAGUCUGAACCAGGCUCUUCUUAGUGAGGCCCAGUGGUGUGACAGGAGGCAAUGGGUGCAUACCAAAACAUUCCAUGUGGUCAUGGAACUGAAGCCUUCAGUGACUGCUGUAGGAAGUGUUGGAGUACUGGGGUUGGCAGGAGAUGACCCUCUGCUGGCACCUGAGGGGCCUUUUGGGUCUUAAUUGUAUGGUGGUUGGAGUGAACUAGAAAACGUGCUUCUCUAGCAAGUUGGUUGCUUUGAUGGAAUGGGGAGUAGAGUGGUUUUGAAUGGGACUGUGUGCUCAAAUGUGAGCAGAUGCGUAAUAGUUGAAGUACAUUUAUAGAAUUUUACUGCUACCACCUGCUGGAAAAUGUUCAGGUAUUCUGUAAUUGUAAUCAGUAAUAUGUUUUGUGCAUCUUCUUCAUGAGUAAGUAAGAGCAGAAGUGGGAAUGGUUUUAGUGUGAAAAACUAAAAAAGUAUUUAACAUGAGGCAGCUGAUAUUUUUGCUCUAAUGAACACGUGCUUCGGCAGGAUAGAGAAAAAUGGGGCUAGGGUAUGGAUGCUGGAAGUAGUAACUGAAUAUAUUGUGUAAUUCUUGACUUGUCAAAUAGAAAAACCAGAAUGGACUGCAGCGAUGGACAAGAAGCUCCAUAUGUGGCUGCGUGUCAAAGCCUCUCUGAAAAUUUGAGAGAAGAGAAGCAUUCUGUAUGGGAAUCAGUACAACAACUUUGCUUCUUGGUCCUGAAUAAAUGAUACCUCCGAAGUGCUCUCGUGUUCUCAAAGAUGGCAACUAUUUUAGAACGAAUGGAGCCGCCUUAUUUUGGUGUGGUGAUUCAGAUGUGCUCCUAACAGUUUGAAAGCACUGGAAAAAUGAAGAUCUACUGAGUAAUACCAAUAAAAAAGCAUGCUCUUGCAUGCAAGGAGGCGAUGGAGAAACCGGGGAUGUGUCAGGACCUCCCUUGUACAACACUGGACAGGAAGCAGCAACACAAAGAAGGCUGAGG
Molecule: long non-coding RNA, 1266 nt
Organism: Numida meleagris (helmeted guineafowl)
Lineage: Eukaryota; Metazoa; Chordata; Aves; Galliformes; Numididae
Exons: 3
Source: RefSeq, a predicted model, not a curated record